This is a long non-coding RNA of Fukomys damarensis (Damara mole-rat), 1333 nucleotides long. The record is from Ensembl. NCBI's taxonomy places the organism in Eukaryota, Metazoa, Chordata, Mammalia, Rodentia, Bathyergidae.
ACCGUUAAAGCCUGGGGCCGCGCCCACCGGAAGCGACUGAACGGCGCGGUCGGCCGGGUACCGGGCGGUCGCUGGGGGACCUUGGAGGCCACGUGGUUCGACUUCCCGUGCGCGGUGCGGGCACUGACGCCCAGAGAGGGUAUGGAACUGCCCAAGGUCACACAGCCUUUCGUGCCUUGGCCGGCCCUGCUGCCCUGGGCUCUCCAGCCGACUUCCCCUUCGGGGAGCCCCUCGUUACGUAGAGUAGGGUUAGAGCCCGUCCCUAGUUACCGGGUACUGACGGGAUCGAACCGUUUCAUCCCUACCCCGCCAGACCUUCCUUAUAAGCCACGAUCUUGAACCAGAGAAAAAUGUGCACAGACAAAAAGGAUCGUGGUUUAUGGCCUCUUUCAGGCCUCGGCUCUGGAAGAACUCAGGAAAGCCUUUUUAUUUGUAUCAUUUAUUUACUUUCGAGACAGGGGCUCACCACGUAGCCCAGGCUGGCCUCGGACUUGGCAGCGAUUCUGCAGCGUCAGCGUCCCAAGCGCUGGGAUUCGGCGCCACCACGCCCAGAAAAAGCCAUUUCUUAAUGCCUGUCAAGAAAAUCCUGCCUGCAGUUACUUGACUUCCCCUGGAGCAGGUACAUGGGCUCCAGGUCCAUAUAUCACCCUGUAUCGUACACCUCCUAUCGAUCCCAGACUCCCACUGGCCCAGUCUCCUGAGUGGAGGCUGCACACCCCUGCAGAGAGAAAGCUCACCCUUCCUACCCCGUGGCCCUUCGCAGACCCUGACUGGAGCAGCUGCUACAUCAAAACAAGAAAAUAAAGCAAGAAACCAAGAGGUGUGCUGUGCGCUCCAUUCAACAUGGAUGAGAAGUGAAGAAACUGACUGAGGGCUGGGUCACCGCUCAGUGUGGACCUGGGUUCGAUCUCCAGUGCUAGGGGGAAAAAAAAAACAACCCUGAAAAAGAAACAAAACAUAACCAUAGCAGACUAAACUGCUCAGCUGUGAAUAACAGGUACAGAGACAUAACUGCAGACAGAAUAAGCUGGUUUCCACCAACCCCAGCACGUAUGGUCCAUCUCCCUGUAUCUCCAAUGACUGCUUUCCAGAUGCCUGGUGGCCUCAGUUAUCCUGGCUUGCUGUUGGUUAAAUAGGAAUUGUGUGAAUGAAAUCCAGUUAGUAAGUCAAUACAUUAAAUAAAUUCAUUAAAUAUUGAAUUAAAUUAUCAAUGUAACCCAUUCAUGGUGAGUGAUUGUGCAUGCCUGUAGUAGUAGCAGUUAAUAGGGAGGCUGAGGCAGGAGGAUCACUUGAACCCCCAAGUUUAAGUCUACCCUAGUCAAUAUAGCCGGAC